AAGAGGUGGUUGGGGGGACCAUGGCUGACGUUUUCCCGGCCAGCAACUCCACGGCGUCUCAGGACGUGGCCAACCGCUUCGCCCGCAAAGGGGCGCUGAGGCAGAAGCAUGUGCACGAGGUGAAAGACCAUAAAUUCAUCGCCCGCUUAUUCAAGCAGCCCACCUUCUGCAGCCACUGCACAAACUUCAUCUGGGGGUUUGGGAAACAAGGCUUCCAGUGCCAAGUUUGCUGUUUUGUGGUUCACAAGAGGUGCCAUGAAUUUGUCACUUUCUCCUGCCCGGGUGCGGACAAGGGACCCGACACUAAUGACCCCAGGAGCAAGCACAAGUUCAAAAUCCACACCUAUGGGAGCCCCACCUUCUGCGAUCACUGCGGGUCACUGCUGUAUGGACUUAUCCAUCAAGGGAUGAAAUGUGACACCUGCGACAUGAAUGUUCACAAGCAGUGCGUAAUCAACGUCCCCAGCCUCUGCAGAAUGGAUCACACGGAGAAGAGGGGGCGAUUCACCUGAAGGCUGAGGUCACCGAUGAAAAGCUUCACGUCACGGUACGAGAUGCAAAACAUCUCAUUCCUAUGGAUCCAGAUGGGCUUUCGGAUCCCUACGCGAAGCUGAAACUUAUUCCUGAUCCCAAGAACGAAAGCAAACAGAAAACCAAAACCAUCCGCUCCACACUGAACCCCCAGUGGAACGAGUCCUUUACAUUCAAAUUAAAACCUUCAGACAAAGACCGACGACUGUCUGUACAAGUCUGGGAUUGGGAUCGGACGACAAGAAAUGACUUCAUGGGAUCCCUUUCCUUUGGCCUUUCGGAGCUAAUGAAAAUGCCAGCCAGUGGAUGGUACAAGUUGCUUAACCAGGAAGAAGGUGAGUACUACAAUGUGCCCAUUCCGGAAGGGGACGAAGAAGGAAACAUGGAGCUCAGGCAGAAAUUUGAGAAAGCCGAGCUUGGCCCUGCUGGGAAUAAAGUCAUCAGUCCUUCGGAAGACAGGAAACAACGUUCCAACAACCUUGACAGAGUGAAGCUCACCGAUUUCAAUUUCCUAAUGGUGCUGGGGAAGGGGAGGUUGGGAAAGGUGAUGCUUGCUGACAGGAAGGGAACAGAAGAACUGUACGCGAUCAAAAUCCUGAAGAAGGACGUGGUGAUUCAGGAUGACGACGUGAAGGUAUGGUGA
Molecule: RNA transcript, 1174 nt
Organism: Propithecus coquereli (Coquerel's sifaka)
Lineage: Eukaryota; Metazoa; Chordata; Mammalia; Primates; Indriidae
Gene name: protein kinase C alpha type pseudogene
Exons: 1
Source: RefSeq, a predicted model, not a curated record